Molecule: ribosomal RNA, 870 nt
Filed under: uncultured bacterium
Lineage: Bacteria
Description: bacterial SSU rRNA
Rfam family: Bacterial small subunit ribosomal RNA
Source: RNAcentral
GCCUUAACAUGCAAGUCGAACGGUAACAGGUUAAGCUGACGAGUGGCGAACGGGUGAGUAAUGUAUCGGAACGUGCCCAGUCGUGGGGGAUAACUGCUCGAAAGAGCAGCUAAUACCGCAUACGACCUGAGGGUGAAAGCGGGGGAUCGCAAAACCUCGCGCGAUUGGAGCGGCCGAUAUCAGAUUAGGUAGUUGGUGAGGUAAAGGCUCACCAAGCCGACGAUCUGUAGCUGGUCUGAGAGGACGACCAGCCACACUGGGACUGAGACACGGCCCAGACUCCUACGGGAGGCAGCAGUGGGGAAUUUUGGACAAUGGGCGCAAGCCUGAUCCAGCCAUGCCGCGUGCGGGAAGAAGGCCUUCGGGUUGUAAACCGCUUUUGUCAGGGAAGAAAAGGUUCUGGCUAAUACCUGGGACUCAUGACGGUACCUGAAGAAUAAGCACCGGCUAACUACGUGCCAGCAGCCGCGGUAAUACGUAGGGUGCAAGCGUUAAUCGGAAUUACUGGGCGUAAAGCGUGCGCAGGCGGUUAUGCAAGACAGAGGUGAAAUCCCCGGGCUCAACCUGGGAACUGCCUUUGUGACUGCAUGGCUAGAGUACGGUAGAGGGGGAUGGAAUUCCGCGUGUAGCAGUGAAAUGCGUAGAUAUGCGGAGGAACACCGAUGGCGAAGGCAAUCCCCUGGACCUGUACUGACGCUCAUGCACGAAAGCGUGGGGAGCAAACAGGAUUAGAUACCCUGGUAGUCCACGCCCUAAACGAUGUCAACUGGUUGUUGGGAGGGUUUCUUCUCAGUAACGUAGCUAACGCGUGAAGUUGACCGCCUGGGGAAUACGGCCCGCAAGGUUGAAACUCAAAGGAAUUGACGGGGA